RNAcentral lists this long non-coding RNA (1428 nucleotides) under Gallus gallus (chicken). RNAcentral's name for it is "lncRNA (ENSGALG00010012452.1)". Lineage: Eukaryota; Metazoa; Chordata; Aves; Galliformes; Phasianidae. The record is from RNAcentral.
CGGGCGGCGGUGGAGAGCGAAGAGGCGGGAGCGGGCGGGAGAGGUACGGCUGUGCUGCUGCUGCUGCUUCGUUGGCUGUGGUUAAGACGACCUGGAGAGGGAAGCGGGGCCUAGGAAGGACUCUAAUCAUUCUUUUCUUGGUUUGCCCACCGGCUCCGCCUGAAGAUGAAUGAAUUUAAUUGCGAACACACUGUGCUCCGUCAGCGAAGCCAAUGAAAUAAAACCUCCAGGCGAUACCCCGCUGUGUCUGAGGGCUCGGAACCCAUGCUGCUGGCCCGGUACAAGCGCUGCUUGUUCCAGCAUCAGAAGCAAGAUCACAGCACACCUGGCUCCAUACUCAAGGUCAGGCUGGAUGGGGCUCUGAGCAACCUGAAGUAGCUGUAGGUGUCCCUGUUCAUUGCAGGGCAGUUGGACUAGACGGCCUGCAAGGAUCCCCUCCAACUCAGAUGGCUCUAUGAUUCUGUGUUGAACAUCAGUCCUAGCGUGGACCAAGGUGGAAGUGUGUCAUACAGCGUAAGAGAUGAAGCUGACCAAUAAAACGAAGAAAACCCUGCAAAAACGUCUGUCUCGUUGCCACUGUUGAUGUCAGAUGCUGUGAUAUGAGCUUGUGGAGUCAGAGCAGUAAUUCACCUGGCACUCGCUCUUGUGAAGUCAUGAACAUCUUGUUCAGAGAAGAAACAGAUCAGUCUCAGCUUGAGGAGCCCCAGCCUGCAGUGUCUGCUUCUCUUUCAAAUUCUUUGGGCUCCAACAGAAGAACAAAGGUGAAGAAGCAGCCCAGGCUAUUACACCUUUAAGCCUGUAUUAUGUUUCCAAUGUUAGAGCUCGGACUAUGGUUUGGAUCCUAAAGCUAAACUGAAGGCUGAAAAUUGCAAAAAGCAGAAGAAAGCUAGAUGUAAUGGCAGAUGGUUAGCUCAUCCCAUGAAAGAUGUCUGCACCAUAAAGCUGGGUUCUGAAAGAGCACAGCGUUCCUCUGGCUAUAUGUGCAGUGCGGUGCUGAAGUCAAACGAUGCUCAGAAAAUCCAGGAAAAGUGCUGUGAUGUGGAUUGAAGUUGUCACAUGACUCAGUGGGUCCUAAUGGCAAAUCUGUUAAACUUACCCAAGCAGAUGCAAGUAACUUAACAGGGCUUCCUCCACAGAGGUGUUUUCUGUCAUCAAGUGCCUGGAAACGGCGCAAGAAUUCCUCCAGGGGAAACUUUAUCUCUUUUGGUGCAAGAUGUAUUCAUCACCACUUGAAAAUGAGCAGGUUGCUUCCUGAGAAGGAGUGCUGCAUAGCCAGAGAUGCCUUUUGCCAGUUAGGUCCUGAGACUUCUAGACCUUUUAGCCAGCUUCACCUCUGUAACUGCAUCCUAGUAUAUAUGCUGUGUGGGCAAUAUUGGUCAUCAAACUCCACUGGAGCAUGGAGCUGGUGCAGACUGCAUGGAGAGUCAG